Molecule: non-coding RNA, 29 nt
Filed under: Mus musculus (house mouse)
Lineage: Eukaryota; Metazoa; Chordata; Mammalia; Rodentia; Muridae
Source: RNAcentral
UGGGAANCUUGUUGAGUUAGAGCGUCUCU